Molecule: long non-coding RNA, 401 nt
Organism: Paramisgurnus dabryanus
Lineage: Eukaryota; Metazoa; Chordata; Actinopteri; Cypriniformes; Cobitidae
Source: RefSeq, a predicted model, not a curated record
AGACAGGCAAGAGUGGGCUGAUCUAGAACCUGUUCCACAAGAUGAUGGACCCAAUCCAGUGGUGAAGAUUGCUUAUUCAGAAAAAUUCAUGGAUGUGUUUGAUAUGUUUCGGGCACUCCUGAAGAAUGAUGAGAAGAGCGAGAGAGCGUUUGCACUGAGUGCUGAUGCCAUCGAUCUCAAUGCUGCCAAUUAUACAGUAUGGCAUUUAUGGUCAAAAUGAGAAAGAGGCUGCUUUGAUCGACAUGAUGGAUGAUUUCCUGGUGGAGAUUCAGGCAAAAUACAUUAAGCUUAUUUAUCAGGAAUAUGAAACAGGAAAAGAAAAAUAUCUGAAGGAACUGCCUGAAAGUCUUGGGCGCUUGGAAAAAAUCUUAAGCAGCAACAAAGGAGGAUUUCUGGUUGGC